AAGUCGUAACAAGGUCUCCGUAGGUGAACCUGCGGAGGGAUCAUUCACAUGAUUACCUUUAUCAACAAACUGUGAACUUUAUAAUUUACUAUUCGUGUGUGUUUUGUGUUGUUUGUUUACUUCGGUACACUCAAUCAAAACAUCACACUGUCAUUCGAUGAACAUUAGAUAGCUGGCUUGAUUUUCGAAUCUUUCUCAGCUGAUUGUAUGUUGUUGAUUAACAAUCCACACAUCAAUCACCCAAUUAACAUAGAAACAACUCUAUGCCCUGGAUAUCUUGGUUCUC
RNAcentral lists this unclassified non-coding RNA (286 nucleotides) under fungal sp. RNAcentral's name for it is "partial internal transcribed spacer region". The stretch from base 1 to 46 matches the Rfam family "Eukaryotic small subunit ribosomal RNA", at positions 1786 to 1831 of the family's 1831-position model. The record is from RNAcentral. RNAcentral also lists the same sequence under 1 other name. Lineage: Eukaryota; Fungi.